Molecule: transfer RNA, 73 nt
Filed under: Helicobacter bilis ATCC 43879
Lineage: Bacteria; Pseudomonadati; Campylobacterota; Epsilonproteobacteria; Campylobacterales; Helicobacteraceae
Rfam family: tRNA
About the family: Transfer RNA (tRNA) molecules are approximately 80 nucleotides in length. Their secondary structure includes four short double-helical elements and three loops (D, anti-codon, and T loops). Further hydrogen bonds mediate the characteristic L-shaped molecular structure. tRNAs have two regions of fundamental functional importance: the anti-codon, which is responsible for specific mRNA codon recognition, and the 3' end, to which the tRNAs corresponding amino acid is attached (by aminoacyl-tRNA synthetases). tRNAs cope with the degeneracy of the genetic code in two manners: having more than one tRNA (with a specific anti-codon) for a particular amino acid; and 'wobble' base-pairing, i.e. permitting non-standard base-pairing at the 3rd anti-codon position.
Source: Rfam by way of RNAcentral
GACCCUUUCAUCUAGAGGCCAAGGAUACCGCCCUUUCACGGCGGUAACGAAGGUUCAAAUCCUUCAAGGGUCG